Triticum aestivum (bread wheat) is the source of this 1614-nucleotide long non-coding RNA. RefSeq lists it as uncharacterized. NCBI's taxonomy places the organism in Eukaryota, Viridiplantae, Streptophyta, Magnoliopsida, Poales, Poaceae. The record is from RefSeq and is a predicted model, not a curated record. The transcript has 2 exons.
CCCUGUAUUAUAAUAAAACAAAAAAAAAACAAAUAUUACUACCUCAAUUUGAAAAGGAUUCACAGCAUGCAGUUAGACAGAUAAAGGAGGAUGUCAUUCUCACCGUACGAGUUUCCUCAACUGCUCAAUGUGGAUUGCAAGUUCUUUCUGCUUACAUAUUAGUGUCUCUAGGGUCUGAAAGUACGAAGAAAAUAUCACUCAGCUGAUGCUUAGGCUGCAAUUUCUUAAUUAAGUGUCUUUUCUCACCUCCUUGGUCUGAGCAGCACAGUCUUCAAGUUCUUGUAUCUUCCCUGAGAUCUGUUCGUUGGCUUGUUUCUGAUGAGUAUUUCCACUCAUCUGAUUAGCAACCUGUUCCAUACAGAUUUACAACAAUUAGUAACUGGAGAAUUCUCAUUUCAUGGGGAGUAGUUAGGCUAUGAGGCAAAACCACUCAUUCGAAAGACAUACAAGUAAUAUCUGCUAAUCUGAACUCCCGAAGUGCAACUGUACUACUGGUUCACAGUCAAACCAUAGCACAAACCUUUUGAGAUUUUUUUUUUUACUUUCUGUGCUAUGUGCUAUCAGAUGUGCUGUUCCAGUUUUUUAAAUGGAAGUAUACAAGGACAGAAGCAGAAUUUCAGUAACAGUAUCAAGACCUGAUUAUCCUCUAACAACAACAUGCCAAGAGUACGUUUCCUACCACACGUGGGAUCUACAUGUCUUGCUGAAGGCUCCUGCAAAUAAAGUGUCAGAAAUCCAAAAUGCAUUCUUUGCAAAGGAAAGGAGGGAGAAAACGAGAGAAGAUAGGAGUAUGUUUCUUCUAUUCUAAUAUGACACUUGGUGAUGAAAUGGAGGUGGGAGGGUAAAAACAAGAUGAAAUGAGUAGAUACAAUGAAGGUGUGACACUUCUAUUUUUCUCCAAUAGAUGUUUUCUUUUGAUGGGGAAGCUCCCUGUGUUAUGUCAUAAUAUUUUUUUCCGAAAAUCAGCCACUGAAGAAGACAGGAAACCUCAAUGGAGAGAUGAAGAGGGGGCAAUCCAGGAAAGGAAGCUCACAGAUAAGUUCCAUAUCAUCCCCAAACGGAAAACACAUGAAAAGGAAGUAAAUAGGAGCUCAGGCCUGAUGGUACGAUUGAAGAGAACAAUGCUAGGCUUCUGGCCAAGGGUUAUACCCAGAAAGAGGUGAAGAUUUCUUCAAUACUUACUCGCCUAUGGCCAGACUGACCACCAUUCGAGUGUUACUCUCAUUGGGGGCCUCGCAUGGUCUUCUCGUCCAUCAGAUGGACGUCAGGAAGGAAGGAAAUGAGCUCCUAAGCAAUGGCAUGAGAAGUUUGAGAAAGCUUAACAUCUGUCGGUUUUGUUCUUAAUGAAGCUGACAAAUGUGUAUACUGUCGCCAUGGGGAGGAGUUAUGUUGUGCCUGUAUGUCAUACUGAUAUUUGGAACCAACCUCAAAGUCAUUGAGGAGGUUAAGGCUUUUCUAUCUCAUAACUUUGAGAUGAAAGAUCUUGGUGUGCUGAUGUUAUCUUGAACAUCAAGUUAUUGAGAGAUAUUGAGGGUGGGAUUACACUUCUGUAAUUCCACUAUGUUGAGAACAUUCUGAGUCGCUUUGGUUAUUCAGAUUACAAAUCUUUUCCAA